Molecule: ribosomal RNA, 501 nt
Filed under: Malassezia globosa
Lineage: Eukaryota; Fungi; Basidiomycota; Malasseziomycetes; Malasseziales; Malasseziaceae
Description: partial large subunit ribosomal RNA
Rfam family: Eukaryotic large subunit ribosomal RNA
Source: RNAcentral
AAUUUGAAAGCUGGCACCUCCGGUGUCCGCGUUGUAAUCUCGAGACGUGUUUUCCGUGCGGCUCUAUGGACAAGUCCCUUGGAAUAGGGCAUCGUAGAGGGUGAGAAUCCCGUACUUGCCAUGGAAGAACCGUGCUUUGCGAUACACGCUCUAAGAGUCGAGUUGUUUGGGAUUGCAGCUCAAAAUGGGGUGGUAGACUCCAUCUAAAGCUAAAUAUCGGGGAGAGACCGAUAGCGAACAAGUACCGUGAGGGAAAGAUGAAAAGCACUUUGGAAAGAGAGUUAAAAGUACGUGAAAUUGUCGAAAGGGAAGCACUUGAAGUCAGCCAUGCUGCUUGAGACUCAGCCUGGCCUUUGGGCUUGGUGUAUUUCUCGGGCAUUGGUCGGUGGCAAUUGGGUCGUCGGAGAAGCGCAUAGGGAAUGUAGCGUUUCCGGACGUGUUAUAGCCUUAUGCAGGAUACGACGACCUGGAUCAAGGAACGCAGUGUGCCCUCUGGGCGGG